GACAUGCAUGUAACAGCUAGAUAUAUCAUGAUAUUAAUCAUUCAUAUUAGACAAAAAGAUUUAACCUCAUCCUUGGAGUUCAAACAUCCUAAUUGCAUACCUAUCUUAAGAAAUUGAAGAACACACAUUUGUGCUCGACAUGCAAUAGAGAUUACCUCGAGCACCGUGUUUGCAGCUAUUGCAACUUUCAAAUGCAAAAAGCAAAUGCAACUCUAACAUGUUAGUUCAGUUUCCAGUC
This 238-nucleotide long non-coding RNA is filed under the name Elaeis guineensis (African oil palm). RNAcentral describes it as "long non-coding RNA (EGUI_LNC033008)". Lineage: Eukaryota; Viridiplantae; Streptophyta; Magnoliopsida; Arecales; Arecaceae. The record is from RNAcentral.